This 5851-nucleotide long non-coding RNA is filed under the name Lactuca sativa (garden lettuce). RNAcentral describes it as "long non-coding RNA (LSAT_LNC007961)". Lineage: Eukaryota; Viridiplantae; Streptophyta; Magnoliopsida; Asterales; Asteraceae. The record is from RNAcentral.
CGAGAUUAGGGUUCGUGGGCUGCAACCUGGGCAUGAGGAAAUCUUGGGGUUGUGACGAGUUGCUAGAAGCGUAGGGCAUCUCAUCACCUUUCCCUAGAUAUGAGGUUCUUUGGAAACAUAGUUAUAUUGAGGAAGCACUGAAAGUUUGAAGUUUUGGUAGGAUAAGUCCCUUAUUUGAGAAAGGUGGCAACUGAGUAUGCUGGGCGUAUGUGUGUGUAUGCUUAGCGUACUUAUGUGCGUGAUUUUUAAACGGAGCCACCUAGUAUGCUGGGCUUACUAAGCACAGAGUGAAAACCCUAAUUUUGGGUGUGUCCCUAUAUAAAGGAUAUGAUGGCUCAUUCCUGGCCACCAUUCUCAGUCAACAAACCCUCUUAAACCCUCAUUCCUGGCCACCAUGAGUGGUAUCUAUGUGUGAACGGAGGGUCUUAUGUGCUUAAUUUAGUUAUAUUAUGCAUUUUGUCUGUGUGAUAUAUAUGCUAUGUUCUGUGCUUACUAAGAUAGGACCGGAGGGUCCAAACCGAGUUGUAGGACCGGAGGGUUUCCACUGAGACCGGACCAGAGGGUCCAAACCAAGCUGUGAGACCGGAGGGUCUUCACUGAGACACAGGACCGGAGGGUCCACACAAAUACACAUGAGACUGGAGGGUUCAUGCUGAGUUAUAUCCAUGAGAGGCUUACUAUUUAUGUAUGUGGUAUUUUGGGGAACUCACUAAGAUUUGUGCUUACUGUGUUAUGUGAUAUGUGUUUCAGGUUUUUAUCAGGAUCGCGAGAAGGCGCCGACUUGAUUGUACACACCAGAGAAAGAGUUAUGUUUUGAGGAUCCUGGAUUAUUAAUUAAACAAUUAUGAAGUUGUGUUGUAAAUUAAAUAAAUGAGAUUUUUGUGAAAUGUGUUAUGAGAAUUAUGUGAUUUUAAAAUGAAAAAUUUGUUUGAAAAUUUACGGUGUCACUAGUUGGUAUCAGAGCCGUGGUUUGAGGAUUCAGAUGCACCUUAGGGUAUAUCUAGACUCAAACUGAGGAUUUGAGAAAAUUUUUCAAAAGAAAUGAUUUUUCUAAAACGAGCAAGAGUUUCUAAGAGAAAACCGAGAAGGAGUAGUGUGUACAAUCAGCCAGAGCCUAAACGGUGAUUUCUCAAAAUACCCUUACUUAUUUGUGUUAUGAGUUAUUAUUGAGAUAUUAGUGAUGCAUGCUAGAUGGUAGGCUAGGUUUUUCAUAUUUUAGGGCUAGUGUUGUCUGAUUUGCGAUGCCUUAGCCUAGGAUUUUGCUAUCUGUGAUGUGCUUUGAGUAUGUGAUGAGUAAGAGUAUCCAACGAGAAUCUUUUAGAGAGAACUUUGAGUAGAGGAGUAAUCUAGGGGAGAUACCUAUAUGAGCAUUGGAGGAGCCUACUCAGGGAGUAGUUAGAUACCCGCUAGGGGUAGCGUUGCUUGAGUUCGGCGAUACCUUUUGAGUGUGAGUAGAGCAAGUGGAGUUGUAACCUAGAGUGGUUUUAUGUGUUGGUGUAGAUUUUUAGAUGCCCGAAUGCUGCUUGCUUCGUGCUUUGUGGAACUCUUGAUGAUGGGAGUCAGCUACUAGGUGAAUAUGAUGAUAUUCAAGAGGUAGAUGGCUGGCAUCAUAAGGAGUUCUUUAGCAGCUGAUGGCAGAGAAGUGAGAUAACCUAGGAAGAGCCUAGGGAGUGACCUUAGUUAGAUGGGUACACUGAUAGAAGAGAGUAUUUGCUGGGGUGCGACAGGGUUUAACGGGAUUAGUGAUCGAGAAGGUUGAGUAGCUACUUAGGAAAUCUGGGACGAUCCAUGUAGAAAGUAUGGGUAUAUGUGGCGGCUAGUAUGGGCCCGUACUACUGAAAGCAGAGGAACCGUACUCGAUACAGGGAGAAUUCCAAUGGUUCUAAGUAACAGAUUGAGAGGUGAUAACAUGGUUCAAGUACCAUGAUUCGUAGCAGAUUGAGUGGUGAUCACAUGGUUCGAGUACCAUGAUUUGUGGUGGUUAGUGCUUCUGGUUUUACCAGUUAUCACGUUGUGAUUGAUUAGACUGAGAUAAGAUAUGAUAGAGCGUGGGGCCAGAGGGCCAUUUCGAUCAAGCUUUAAUGGAGCAUACCUUGAGAAGGAAAUCGAGUUAGUUCCGAGAGAUUUUGUUGGCGAGAUUCCAAUUGGAGUCGUAAGACUUAGGGAUGAGUAGAGAUGAUGCUUAUUGGAGGAUCGCUGUCUGAGUUGAGUAAUCGACCGAUAAAUGAGACGUCACCUUCUGUGAUAAGAGUUGUUUUGUCCCCAUUUCCUGGGAAAAGUAAAAGGGAUAACGAGUUUCUGGUUUCAGAGUUUGGAGGUAAACCCUGUGUGGUAGGAUAUGGUGGUGACCUUUUCACCAGAGUAUUUGGUCAGUAUGUCUGUUGUGGGGUAUUUCUUGUACCAUGAAGGAGUCAUCACUGGGGACUGAGAUGAAAGAGACCAAGGAAGGUGCCUUUAUUAGUGAGGCAUGAUUUUUAGCAGCAGUUCCAGGAGAUUACGAGGAGUGUACCGGGGCAGUAGCCCUCGUUGCUUGCGUUAACCGACUGAAGCCUAUAGUUCCUAUGAUGAUCUGCAUGCUAAAAUGUUGGAUGGGGGAUCGGAGACCAGGUGUGAGAUAGUGCUUUAAUCUUGGAUUGAGAGUCAGGACUGAUUUGGGAUAGUUGGGAUACCCGACGGUGUGUCGGUACGAGGAUUUCAUCUGAGAUUUGGGAUAUUUGGAUUUGCUUGGUAUUUAUCGAGAAGAUCAUCGAGUGUUAUGUGGUACGUUCCAAGAUUCAAGUGUGAUGUACUUGGUAAAUUAGUCUAUGGAGUAGAUCGUUGGUAUGCCAACUGGUGAUGGUUCGAACCCUGAGUGGGGCAGAAUUGGGUAUUGCAUUAAGAGGAUCGACGAUCCGUUCAAGUACGGUUAAAGAACUGGUUAUGGAGAUCUGCGGUGCGGACUCAUGAGACCUGGGUUAUUAGUGGAUGAGGCGAGAUGAUGUAUGUGUAUGUGCUUUAGAAAGGAUGAGUGAAUCCACGGCAGGUGGCCGUUGGUCAGAGAAUUUAUUGCGACCAGGGAUUUUUCGGGUUUGAAAAUGUUGAGUUCGAGGCGGUUGGGUCGCUAAGUCAGGGUGCAAUAACUGAGAUUUGCGGGUAUAGGUAUAGAUUGUGAUCUAUACUCCCGGAGGGGCAGCAGUUGAAUUAUCAACCAAUUUCAGAAGUUGGUAUGAGUUGUUUGUAUGGGUAGUGAUUAGUAGAGGGUGGAGCUUCGGAUUUUCGUCAAUGUGUUUUCAGUCGUUGACGAUUCCUCCGUGUUUCAAUUUCUGAGAUGGGAAUAUUGCAAGGUUUCAAGUUGCGUAAGUGGAAGACCAGUGGUUGAGGCAAGACAUUGUGAGAUGUUGUGAUGGUGUACCGAGGUACCCGAGUGAUUUUUGUUCCAGCGGGAACCUAUCAGUUGAUUGUCGCUGGAGUGGGACUGUCUAAGAGUGUAUCUAUGCUGAGACUAGUGCGUUUCCUACGAGAACUUUCAUCAGGAGUGGUGCUGCAUAAGCUGGGUGGGUGUAACCACCUAUCUAUGUUGAGCUGCGGAGCAUGAGUUAGUGAAGUCAGUGUAGUGACGAAUUGAUGAUGAGAUUAUGCGGGUGAUAAGAGAGCAAGUGGAUUCGGGUGGGAGUAAUCGCUUGGGAUUAUCAGGAGAAACCAUGGAGUGAGCCCAUGGUGAGUCAGGGGGAGGGUAUCGUGGUACUGCGGGGAGCCGUAGUACUCAAUAGUCAGCGAGAUAGUGCCAUGGUAUUGUGGGGACCCGUAGUAUUCGCUGUUUAGCGAGAGAGUGUCGUGAUAUUGCGGGGAGCCGUUGUAUUCACUGGUUAGUGAGAGAGUGUUAUUAUAUUGCAGGGAGCCGUAGCAUUCACGAGUUAGUAUGAGGGCGUCGUAAGUCUGCGGGGAGCCGUAGCAUUCAUGAGUCACUAAAUGAGUGUUGUAAGACUACGGGGGGACCGUAGCACUCAAUAGUCGAUAAGAGAGAAUACUGUUCAGCGGAGAGAUGGAGUAUUCACCAGUCAGAUUAUGACGCAAAUGAGUUCCUAGGCUUGGGUAGCCUUACCACUUGAGUCUUCGGGAACCUAGUUGUCGAACCAGGAGUGAGGCUGGGGUCUCCUUGACGGUCGUGAAUCGUUAUAUCCCUGGGAUGAGGAGGGAUUAUCGUACUCGAAAGGAAUUGGAGAGAUGGUGCGUGUAUAAAUUCGCGAAUCUUGGGUCAUGAGUUGAGUAACAGAUUAGAAAUGAGUGGUUCCAAUUCUGCUGUUGAAUCAGACUCUCUAGCUUGAGUCUGGAUCCAUUCGUUUAUUGAGUAGGCGGGAUGAGGUUUCGGAUUCGUGUUGAGGGGUAUUGAUCUCCAUCUGAUGCCUUAGACCGGAGUGGGUCAGCUUUGUUGGUAUGGGAAGAACCACGAGAUGCAUGGAACUAGUAGGUGGUAGACAACAGAGGUCAGAGGUGAGACGAUUUUAGAUGGGGUUGUAGUAUUCGCUUGGGGUAAAGUGAACUUCGUGACUUGUGUGUCACGAUGAGCCUAGAUAGUUAUUAUGAGAAGGAAGUCGGUGAGCCGUUUUAUUGGGUGCACAGUGGCUAACCUUUGGAGGUUUAACUAUUGGGUCGGAUUUGACCUGGUGCUCAGUGUUGGAAGGAACAAUUGAGAGGAGCUAGGGCUUUUGAUUAAGGGUGUCAGAGGAUCGUUUGAGCUGACUUGACCACUUUCUUAUGCCUGAGGAUAGAGUUCUGAGGAUCAUUCCUUCAGAAGAGUUCUGAUAGCUGUUCAGGCGGUGGGUCCUUAGUGGGUUAUGACCUUUCCGUUCCUCUUGAGUUCAACCGGGAUCGAUUAGAGAAUCAGAGUUGGUGGAGUGUUCUUAGAGAUUGUUAUUCGAUGAGUGAUUAACAUGAUGAUGUUUUGCGAGGGUGGUCUGGAGGGAGACAUAUCACUAGAGUUUUCAUGUUCUGGAGAGUAAGAUCGAGUACCGCAGCACAGAAGGGUCUGUCCUUCUUCGGGGUCGGGAGUUCCUGUUGGGUUCAUGUGUCUUUGGAAGAGAUUGUUGUAUGAUAUGAGGUCCUUUCAGUGGUGCUUCUUAGGUUACUGGCUUCGAUCUAUGUGAUGAUAAGGAGUGAUUUCAAGGGCGAAAUCUAAUUCAAGUGGGGGAGAAUUGUAACAUCCUGUUUUAGAUCGUCUGUGAUUAGGGUUCGUGGGCUACAACCCGGGCAUGAGGAAGUCUCGGGGUUGUGACAAGUUGCUAGAAGAGUAGGGCAUCUCGUCACCUUUUUGUGGAUAUAAGGUUCUUUGGAAACAGAGUUAUAUCGAGGAAGCAUUGGAAGUUUCAAGUUUUGACAGGAUAAGUCCCUUAUUUGAGAAAGUUGGCAGCUGAGUACGCCGGGCGUUGUUUUAGAUCGUCUGUGAUUAGGGUUCGUGGGCUGCAACCCGGGCAUGAGGAAGUCUCGGGGUUGUGACAAGUUGCUAGAAGAUCAGGGCAUCUCGUCACCUUUUUGUGGAUAUAAGGUUCUUUGGAAACAGAGUUAUAUCGAGGAAGCAUUGGAAGUUUCAAGUUUUGACAGGAUAAGUCCCUUAUUUGAGAAAGUUGGCAGCUGAGUACGCCGGGCGUUGUUUUAGAUCGUCUGUGAUUAGGGUUCGUGGGCUGCAACCCGGGCAUGAGGAAGUCUCGGGGUUGUGACAAGUUGCUAGAAGAUCAGGGCAUCUCGUCACCUUUUUGUGGAUAUGAGGUUCUUUGGAAACAGAGUUAUAUCGAGGAAGCAUUGGAAGUUUCAAGUUUUGACAGGAUAAGUCCCUUAUUUGAGAAAGUUGGCAGCUGAGUACGCCGGGCGUACGUGU